AGACCCGAAACCCGGUGAUCUAGCCAUGGGCAGGUUGAAGGUUGGGUAACACUAACUGGAGGACCGAACCGACUAAUGUUGAAAAAUUAGCGGAUGACUUGUGGCUGGGGGUGAAAGGCCAAUCAAACCGGGAGAUAGCUGGUUCUCCCCGAAAGCUAUUUAGGUAGCGCCUCGUGAAUUCAUCUCCGGGGGUAGAGCACUGUUUCGGCAAGGGGGUCAUCCCGACUUACCAACCCGAUGCAAACUGCGAAUACCGGAGAAUGUUAUCACGGGAGACACACGGCGGGUGCUAACGUCCGUCGUGAAGAGGGAAACAACCCAGACCGCCAGCUAAGGUCCCAAAGUCAUGGUUAAGUGGGAAACGAUGUGGGAAGGCCCAGACAGCCAGGAUGUUGGCUUAGAAGCAGCCAUCAUUUAAAGAAAGCGUAAUAGCUCACUGGUCGAGUCGGCCUGCGCGGAAGAUGUAACGGGGCUAAACCAUGCACCGAAGCUGCGGCAGCGACACUGUGUGUUGUUGGGUAGGGGAGCGUUCUGUAAGCCUGUGAAGGUGUGCUGUGAGGCAUGCUGGAGGUAUCAGAA
This 579-nucleotide ribosomal RNA is filed under the name Escherichia coli. Its description in RNAcentral is "partial 23S ribosomal RNA". It matches the Rfam family "Bacterial large subunit ribosomal RNA", at positions 711 to 1287 of the family's 2925-position model. The record is from RNAcentral. Lineage: Bacteria; Pseudomonadati; Pseudomonadota; Gammaproteobacteria; Enterobacterales; Enterobacteriaceae.